CGCGUGGAUAAUCUACCCUUAAGAUGGGGAUAACGGUUGGAAACGGUCGCUAAUACCGAAUACGCUCCCGAUUUUAUCGUUGGGGGGAAAGAUGGCCUCUGCUUGCAAGCUAUCGCUUAAGGAUGAGUCCGCGUCCCAUUAGCUAGUUGGCGGGGUAACGGCCCACCAAGGCAACGAUGGGUAGCCGGUCUGAGAGGAUGACCGGCCACACUGGAACUGGAACACGGUCCAGACUCCUACGGGAGGCAGCAGUGGGGAAUAUUGCGCAAUGGGCGAAAGCCUGACGCAGCGACGCCGCGUGAGGGAUGAAGGUUCUCGGAUCGUAAACCUCUGUCAGGGGGGAAGAAACCCCCUCGUGUGAAUAAUGCGAGGGCUUGACGGUACCCCCAAAGGAAGCACCGGCUAACUCCGUGCCAGCAGCCGCGGUAAUACGGAGGGUGCAAGCGUUAAUCGGAAUCACUGGGCGUAAAGCGCACGUAGGCGGCCUGGUAAGUCAGGGGUGAAAUCCCACAGCCCAACUGUGGAACUGCCUUUGAUACUGCCAGGCUUGAGUACCGGAGAGGGUGGCGGAAUUCCAGGUGUAGGAGUGAAAUCCGUAGAUAUCUGGAGGAACACCGGUGGCGAAGGCGGCCACCUGGACGGUAACUGACGCUGAGGUGCGAAAGCGUG
RNAcentral lists this ribosomal RNA (669 nucleotides) under uncultured bacterium. RNAcentral's name for it is "bacterial SSU rRNA". It matches the Rfam family "Bacterial small subunit ribosomal RNA", at positions 114 to 763 of the family's 1533-position model. The record is from RNAcentral.